Molecule: ribosomal RNA, 253 nt
Filed under: uncultured bacterium
Lineage: Bacteria
Description: partial 16S ribosomal RNA
Rfam family: Bacterial small subunit ribosomal RNA
Source: RNAcentral
AACGUAGGAGGCAAGCGUUAUCCGGAGUUACUGGGCGUAAAGCGUGCGUAGGCGGGCUGGUAAGUGGGUGGUGAAAGCGCUCGGCUAAACCGGGCGAGUGCCAUCCAGACUGCCGGUCUAGAGGCGGAUAGAGGGGUGCGGAAUUCCGGGUGUAGCGGUGAAAUGUGUAGAGAUCCGGAGGAACACCAGUGGUGCAAACGGCGCCCUGGGUCCGAACUGACGCUGAGGCACGAAAGCGUGGGGAGCGAACGGG